RNAcentral lists this long non-coding RNA (2272 nucleotides) under Citrus sinensis (sweet orange). Its description in RNAcentral is "long non-coding RNA (CSIN_LNC003632)". Lineage: Eukaryota; Viridiplantae; Streptophyta; Magnoliopsida; Sapindales; Rutaceae. The record is from RNAcentral.
UAGAAUCAAUUUAAUAUCCUGCAUUUAUUAUUGGAAAUGCCUUGUAAAUGUGCCGAAAUAAAAUAUAUAUACUUAAUGUACAAGUAAAUUAAUAAAACAAUUGCAUUAAAAACAGUUCAUAAGACCCUUACAUAGCCUCCAUAAUAAGUAGUGACCCAGUGCGGCCGAGAAGAAACGCCAUACAAUUUCUUGCAGUCGUCGAUGUAGUUGCUUCGAUCAAAAGGAUCAGGUGGGAACAUUGUAGUAUUGUCAAUGCCUAUGGGCAUCACCAUCUCGCUACAUCUCUAAUUAAAAUUAAAAAACACACCACUCAUUAUAAUGUUGUCAUAUGUUACGAUCAAAAUUUGGCACGUGGUUAAGUUUCUAUCAUACAUGCAAAUGGAUAUAUAAUGACUUCAUUUUCUUCAUCGAUCAAAAGGGUGUGUGAACAUACUUAAAUAUUGUUUGACCUUCAAGGAUACCUGUUCUUGUUCUUGAAGUUAUCACUAAAUCUCUACUUCAGCCUUGCGCUGCAUGACCAACCAAUCUGGAUCACUGUCUUGGUUUGCUCUAAGAAUAUCCAGGCAGUGAGAACCUGCAAAUUAUAUAAUGAUUUUGUAUCAGUAACAAAUCGAUAUAUAUUUAUGUACAUAAUUUUGAAUAUAUAUGUAAAUAUUAUUUCAAAUAUGCGUCACAUACCAUUGACCGUGUGAAUGGCAACCACGCUUUCUGAUAUGUCCUCCAAUACCCUGCGAUAUAUAUAGCAUGCUUUAUUAUUAGCCAUAAUUUAUAUAUAUACAUAUAUAAUUAAGGUAAGUUUGUUUAGUCCUUAUAUUUUGAGGUUAUUAACCGUUUAAUCCUUAUAUUUUUCAAAAGUACCUCAAAACAUCGUUGCAGUUAAAUUAUUGAACCCUCUGCCAUUACUUUUUGUUUCUUUUGGCUUACUUUUAUAAUAUUAUACUCUUGUAAUAAUGUUUUUUUUUUACAUUAAUAAAAAGAAAAAAUUUAAUAAAAAGAAAAAAUUAAAGUGCCACUUUAAUUUACAAAUAAAAUAGAAACAAAAAGAAUAUAUAAUAAUUUUUGUAGAAUACUCUGUUGAGGAGCUAAUAUUUUAAUUUUUUAUUAAUGCCCAAAAAAGGUAAUUUCAUGUCUUUUACAAUAUUAAAUUUUUUUGGAGCUUUCACAAAAAUUAAUACAAAUUCUUUUUGCUUUAUUUCAUUUUUGGGCUAAAUUGAUAAUUUAAUUUUUUUAUUAAUGUCUAAAUAAAAAGAAACAUUAUUGUAAGAGGGUAAUAUUGUAAAAAAAAAGCCAAAAGGAAUACAAAGUAAUGACAUGGAUGUCAAUAGUUUAAUGACAAGAAUAUUUCAAGAUAUUUUUUAAAAUACAAGUACUAAAUGGAAUCUAAACUCAAAAUAUAGGAACUAAAUAAGCUUUUACCCAAGUUAAUUAUCCUUUAGUGAGGGCUUCCUCUCUUUAAAAGUGAGAAUGCCACAAACAAAUUUAAAAUAAAAAAACACAUGCGUGCAAACAUAUAAGCAUAUGACACCUGUUUAAAAUAAAAUAAUUUUUAUGUUAAUUACCCGCCACUGCUGUAAGGAUCUCUAAGCCCAUUGGAGAAAAUAAUGUUGCUAGCAAAUCUUUGUAGAAUCAAUUUAAUAUCCUGCAUUUAUUAUUGGAAAUGCCUUGUAAAUGUGCCGAAAUAAAAUAUAUAUACUUAAUGUACAAGUAAAUUAAUAAAACAAUUGCAUUAAAAACAGUUCAUAAGACCCUUACAUAGCCUCCAUAAUAAGUAGUGACCCAGUGCGGCCGAGAAGAAACGCCAUACAAUUUCUUGCAGUCGUCGAUGUAGUUGCUUCGAUCAAAAGGAUCAGGUGGGAACAUUGUAGUAUUGUCAAUGCCUAUGGGCAUCACCAUCUCGCUACAUCUCUAAUUAAAAUUAAAAAACACACCACUCAUUAUAAUGUUGUCAUAUGUUACGAUCAAAAUUUGGCACGUGGUUAAGUUUCUAUCAUACAUGCAAAUGGAUAUAUAAUGACUUCAUUUUCUUCAUCGAUCAAAAGGGUGUGUGAACAUACUUAAAUAUUGUUUGACCUUCAAGGAUACCUGUUCUUGUUCUUGAAGUUAUCACUAACGCUUGUUAGAACUAUAAUUUAAUAAUGACAAACAUGAACCAUAAUAAUCAUUAUAUUGGAGGUUGAAUUUUCUUCUAAAUUAAAAGAAUGUAAGAAUAUUGUGAUGUUUUUGAAUGUAAAUUACCUGCCAAUAUUGUGAUGUUUUUGAAUGUAAAUUACCU